This 441-nucleotide ribosomal RNA is filed under the name uncultured bacterium. Its description in RNAcentral is "partial 16S ribosomal RNA". It matches the Rfam family "Bacterial small subunit ribosomal RNA", at positions 339 to 795 of the family's 1533-position model. The record is from RNAcentral.
CUACGGGACGCUCCAGUGGGGAAUAUUGGGCAAUGGGCGCAAGCCUGACCCAGCAACGCCGCGUGAGGGAAGAAGGUUUUCGGAUUGUAAACCUCUGUCCCCCCUGACGAAACAAAUGACGGUAAGGGGGGAGGAAGCUCCGGCUAACUACGUGCCAGCAGCCGCGGUAAUACGUAGGGAGGAGCGUUGUCCGGAAUUACUGGGCGUAAAGGGUGCGUAGGCGGCAUAUUAAGUCAGGUGGGAAAUUUUCGGGCUCAACCCGGAACCUGCAUUUGAAACUGAUAAGCUUGAGUGUGAGAGAGGUAAGUGGAAUUCCUAGUGUAGCGGUGAAAUGCGUAGAUAUUAGGAGGAACACCAGUGGCGAAGGCGACUUACUGGCUCAUAACUGACGCUGAGGCACGAAAGCGUGGGGAGCAAACAGGAUUAGAUACCCUGGUAGUC